This is a long non-coding RNA of Mobula hypostoma (lesser devil ray), 317 nucleotides long. RefSeq lists it as uncharacterized. The record is from RefSeq and is a predicted model, not a curated record. The transcript is spliced from 2 exons. Lineage: Eukaryota; Metazoa; Chordata; Chondrichthyes; Myliobatiformes; Myliobatidae.
CGUGUUCCGCGCCGGCGCCGAUCUCUCCGUCAAAGCGGAACAAUUCUCAGAGUAAAUGUCCCGUUUUCUGAUUUAUUUCCAUUUCCAUCCGAGGGAAGUUGGGGGCGUUUGUGAAGCUGUGGCCGGAGUCUGAUGUAUCGCCGAGAGUUAGACCUGCGGUGAGAGAUUUAUUGGAAGAAAAACCCCAACUGGAAGCAAACCACGACUGAAGACGAGGGAACAGCAACAAGUGAACCAGCCCGAGGGUUGAGAGCAUCAACUGGAGAGAACCCAUCUGACUCGGAGAUUCCAGUGAUUCAGUCAGGAGAAAGUUUGGU